Unclassified non-coding RNA from Cricetulus griseus (Chinese hamster), 264 nucleotides. Its record names the gene 7SK. It matches the Rfam family "7SK RNA". Rfam says of the family: 7SK was discovered as an abundant small nuclear RNA in the mid-70s but a possible function has only recently been suggested. Two independent studies have found that 7SK RNA binds the CDK9/cyclin T complex (known as elongation factor P-TEFb). The record is from Ensembl. Lineage: Eukaryota; Metazoa; Chordata; Mammalia; Rodentia; Cricetidae.
UGAGGUGAUCUAGCUGCACUAUCUGUCAUUCCAUAUCACCAGGGACAAUUCAGCUGAUCUCACUGGCUAGGUAGGGGUCCCCUUCCUCCACUCCACGUGUGUCCCCACUAAAGCAACAUACUUGGUUAGAAGGAUGACCUCCCUCAAAAGAGGGCUGAUUGUCAGCCAAGGGAGAAUGAGUAGCUUCAAUCCCCUACUAGAACCUCCAAACAAGCUCUCAAACACAGAUUUGGCCAGUGGAAGCCACUUUAAGAGCUGGCUUCU